AUGAUUAUAUAUCUCUAGUUACAUUAUGGUUCUUAUAUAAAAUGUGUAUUGACUUGAAUUCUUUCUUUUGAAUUUUUGCGCUUUGUUUCGCAGAAUUUCUAAUUUAUCGGUAGUAGUAUUGUUUUUAGGUUGUUAUCUUAUAUAGGUGGUGUUUUUGUCUUUCGCGGUAUGAUUUAAGUUAGUCAUCUGGCGUGUAAGUUUGAAUUUUAUUCGCGUUCUUUUAUAAAUUUUGCUGAGCAAGGGUUUUAAUUUUUAUUCGUGGCGACUUAUCAAGUGUCAAUUGGGAGUGCCAGUAUUCGUCAAACAGUGUACGUGUCUAGUACUGCGAGGGAAAAAUUUAAAAAAUGUACCCCGUUGAAAGGUGUUAUGAAAAUUAUGGAACUUGGUUCCAGUACGUUACUGCUGUGGUUGGAGAGCGGGAUUUGCGGCGGGGAGUAAAGAUUUUACGUCGCUUGAUUGGUCCGCUUACCCCACACGAGGCUCUGGAUCUAGUCGAGGAGUGGAUGGCUCUGUUUGGGCCUGCUGGGCCUGAGGUUUCGGGCGCAGCAACCUUCUUCUUUCUCCAUAUGCUGGAGAAUCCAGAUGGCGAGGAGGAGUUCAUCGCUCCCAACCUUUCCGAUUUAGAACGGUUGCGGGGAGCACUUAUUGAAUUUGUAUUCAAUAAGAAUUUUGUUUGUUAUUUUUGAAGGAGUUUCACGUUUCGCUGACCAUAUCCGUCGUGUGGGGAUUCUCAUUCUUUGGGGCCAACCGGCGAGGCAUUCUGGAGGAGGGAAUUUUGUUUAGUGUAAAAAAAAAAUUUUUUAUGAAAAGGAGUAUUUAAAUAA
This is an RNA transcript of Cotesia glomerata, 824 nucleotides long. RefSeq lists it as uncharacterized. The transcript is spliced from 3 exons. The record is from RefSeq and is a predicted model, not a curated record. Lineage: Eukaryota; Metazoa; Arthropoda; Insecta; Hymenoptera; Braconidae.